RNAcentral lists this ribosomal RNA (460 nucleotides) under uncultured bacterium. Its description in RNAcentral is "partial 16S ribosomal RNA". It matches the Rfam family "Bacterial small subunit ribosomal RNA", at positions 338 to 795 of the family's 1533-position model. The record is from RNAcentral.
CCUACGGGAGGCAGCAGUGAGGAAUAUUGGUCAAUGGACGAGAGUCUGAACCAGCCAAGUAGCGUGAAGGAUGACUGCCCUAUGGGUUGUAAACUUCUUUUAUAUGGGAAUAAAAUGUUCCACGUGUGGGAUUUUGUAUGUACCAUAUGAAUAAGGAUCGGCUAACUCCGUGCCAGCAGCCGCGGUAAUACGGAGGAUCCGAGCGUUAUCCGGAUUUAUUGGGUUUAAAGGGAGCGUAGGUGGAUUGUUAAGUCAGUUGUGAAAGUUUGCGGCUCAACCGUAAAAUUGCAGUUGAAACUGGCAGUCUGGAGUACAGUAGAGGUGGGCGGAAUUCGUGGUGUAGCGGUGAAAUGCUUAGAUAUCACGAAGAACUCCGAUUGCGAAGGCAGCUCACUGGACUGCAACCGACACUGAGGCUCGAAAGUGUGGGUAUCAAACAGGAUUAGAUACCCCAGUAGUC